AGCGAACGCUGGCGGCAUGCUUAACACAUGCAAGUUGCACGGGCAGCAAUGUCAGUGGCGGACGGGUGAGUAACGCGUAGGUAUCUAUCCUUGGGGUGGGGGACGAACUGUGGGGAAACUACAGCUAAUACCGCAUGAUGACCGAGGUCUAAAGGCGCAAGUCGCCUGGGGCGGGAGCCUGCGUACGAUUAGCUUGUUGGUGGGGUAAAGGCCUACCAAGGCGACGAUCGUUAGCUGGUCGUGAGAGGAUGAUCAGCCACAUUGGGACUGAGACACGGCCCAAACUCCUACGGGAGGCAGCAGUGGGGAAUAUUGGACAAUGGGCGCAAGCCUGAUCCAGCAAUGCCGCGUGUGUGAAGAAGGUCUUC
Molecule: ribosomal RNA, 368 nt
Filed under: uncultured bacterium
Lineage: Bacteria
Description: bacterial SSU rRNA
Rfam family: Bacterial small subunit ribosomal RNA
Source: RNAcentral